GCGGUGAUCCAGUGAUUUGUAAUGGUUUUUUGCAUAAAUUUCAGCCCAGACCUUGUUAAAAUCUGCUCGACACCUGGUCCACUCUUCUUGUUUCUGUUUUAAGCGAGUUAAUAUAACAGGUAGUGCAAGAGAUGGGUUUUUACGCAAUAUGUCCAUGACAUCAAGACCAUGGUCACCAUAUAAACGCUCGAUGCACCUUAAAUUUAGAGCAGUAAAAUGGUCUUCGAUAUGGAUUGGAGUGUCUAUUUUAUUUUCAUUGAUGCUGUUCAACAACUCCUCUGCACGUAUAGCUGUGGAGGUCACAGACUCCAACAACAUGUCCAGCUCAAAUCUAUCAUCUUCACAUCUGAAC
Molecule: unclassified non-coding RNA, 352 nt
Filed under: Hevea brasiliensis (rubber tree)
Lineage: Eukaryota; Viridiplantae; Streptophyta; Magnoliopsida; Malpighiales; Euphorbiaceae
Source: RNAcentral